UGCAAGUCGAGCGGAAGGCCCUUCGGGGUACUCGAGCGGCGAACGGGUGAGUAACACGUGAGCAACCUGCCCUAGGCUUUGGGAUAACCCUCGGAAACGGGGGCUAAUACCGGAUAUGACCUUUGGACGCAUGUCUUUUGGUGGAAAGUUUUUCGGCCUGGGAUGGGCUCGCGGCCUAUCAGCUUGUUGGUGGGGUGAUGGCCUACCAAGGCGACGACGGGUAGCCGGCCUGAGAGGGCGACCGGCCACACUGGGACUGAGACACGGCCCAGACUCCUACGGGAGGCAGCAGUGGGGAAUAUUGCACAAUGGGCGGAAGCCUGAUGCAGCGACGCCGCGUGAGGGAUGACGGCCUUCGGGUUGUAAACCUCUUUCAGCAGGGACGAAGCGGAAGUGACGGUACCUGCAGAAGAAGCGCCGGCCAACUACGUGCCAGCAGCCGCGGUAAGACGUAGGGCGCGAGCGUUGUCCGGAUUUAUUGGGCGUAAAGAGCUCGUAGGCGGCUUGUCGCGUCGACCGUGAAAACUUGGGGCUCAACCCCAAGCCUGCGGUCGAUACGGGCAGGCUAGAGUUCGGUAGGGGAGACUGGAAUUCCUGGUGUAGCGGUGAAAUGCGCAGAUAUCAGGAGGAACACCGGUGGCGAAGGCGGGUCUCUGGGCCGAUACUGACGCUGAGGAGCGAAAGCGUGGGGAGCGAACAGGAUUAGAUACCCUGGUAGUCCACGCUGUAAACGUUGGGCGCUAGGUGUGGGGGGCCUCUCCGGUUCCCUGUGCCGCAGCUAACGCAUUAAG
This 791-nucleotide ribosomal RNA is filed under the name Micromonospora sp. RNAcentral describes it as "bacterial SSU rRNA". It matches the Rfam family "Bacterial small subunit ribosomal RNA", at positions 56 to 864 of the family's 1533-position model. The record is from RNAcentral. Lineage: Bacteria; Bacillati; Actinomycetota; Actinomycetes; Micromonosporales; Micromonosporaceae.